This 251-nucleotide ribosomal RNA is filed under the name uncultured prokaryote. Its description in RNAcentral is "partial 16S rRNA". It matches the Rfam family "Bacterial small subunit ribosomal RNA", at positions 525 to 775 of the family's 1533-position model. The record is from RNAcentral.
ACAGAGGAGGCGAGCGUUGUUCGGAAUUAUUGGGCUUAAAGCGCGUGUAGGCGGCUCGGAAAGUGUCGUGUGAAAUCCAACGGCUCAACCGUUGAACGGCACGGCAAACUACCGGGCUUGAGGUUGGUAGAGGUGCCUGGAACUCUAGGUGGAGCGGUGAAAUGCGUAGAUAUCUAGAGGAACGCCAGAAGCGAAAGCGGGGCACUGGGCCAAAUCUGACGCUGAGACGCGAAAGCGUGGGGAGCAAACAG